RNAcentral lists this small nucleolar RNA (132 nucleotides) under Pelusios castaneus (West African mud turtle). RNAcentral's name for it is "Small nucleolar RNA SNORA71 (ENSPCEG00000010890.1)". It matches the Rfam family "Small nucleolar RNA SNORA71". From Rfam's summary of the family: The members of this family belong to the H/ACA class of snoRNAs which bind a number of proteins (including dyskerin, Gar1p and Nop10p) to form snoRNP complexes. This class of snoRNAs are thought to guide the sites of modification of uridines to pseudouridines by forming direct base pairing interactions with substrate RNAs. This family includes U71 (SNORA71), ACA39 (SNORA39) and ACA60 (SNORA60). Lineage: Eukaryota; Metazoa; Chordata; Testudines; Pelomedusidae. The record is from Rfam by way of RNAcentral.
ACCUGCAUCGAAAGUGACUCUGGUCUUCCCUGUGACCUAGUCAUUGAUAGUGCAGGGAGAGGAGCCUGUGAAAGUUUUUCCCGUGUUUGGGGGCUCAUUCCCAUCCCUCACAAACCCUGUAACUUUCAGACA